AAUGAACGCUGGCGGCGCGCCUAAUACAUGCAAGUCGAGCGAGAAGACGUAGCAAUACGUUUGUAAAGCGGCGAACGGGUGAGGAAUACAUGGGUAACCUACCCUUGAGUGGGGAAUAACUAGCCGAAAGGUUAGCUAAUACCGCGUACGCUCCUUGGACUUCGGUUCAGGGAGGAAAGCGAUACCGUGGGUAUCGCGCUCUUGGUUGGGCUCAUGUCCUAUCAGCUUGUUGGCGAGGUAACGGCCCACCAAGGCUUCGACGGGUAGCUGGUCUGAGAGGACGACCGGCCACACUGGGACUGAGACACGGCCCAGACUCCUACGGGAGGCAGCAGUGGGGAAUCUUGCGCAAUGGGCGAAAGCCUGACGCAGCGACGCCGCGUGAGGGAUGACGGCCUGGUU
Molecule: ribosomal RNA, 402 nt
Filed under: uncultured bacterium
Lineage: Bacteria
Description: bacterial SSU rRNA
Rfam family: Bacterial small subunit ribosomal RNA
Source: RNAcentral